AUUGAACGCUGGCGGCAGGCCUAACACAUGCAAGUCGAGCGAGCGGCGGACGGGUGAGUACUGUCUGGGAAACUGCCUGCUGGAGGGGGCUAACUACUGGAAACGGUAGCUAAUACCGCAUACCAUCAUAUGUGCCCAGAUGGGAUUAGCUAGGAGGUGGGGUAACGGCUCACCUAGGCGACGAUCCCUAGCUGGUCUGAGAGGAAGACCAGCCACUCUGGAACUGAGACACGGUCCAGACUCCUACGGGAGGCAGCAGUGGGGAAUAUUGCACAAUGGGCGCAAGCCUGAUGCAGCCAGGCCGCGGGUAUGAAGAAGGCCUUCGGGUUGUAAAGGACUUUCAGCGGGGAGGCGUUACCCGAAGAAGAAGCACCGGCUAACUCCGUGCCAGCAGCCGCGGUAAUAC
This 406-nucleotide ribosomal RNA is filed under the name uncultured bacterium. RNAcentral's name for it is "partial 16S ribosomal RNA". It matches the Rfam family "Bacterial small subunit ribosomal RNA", at positions 29 to 526 of the family's 1533-position model. The record is from RNAcentral.